This 322-nucleotide ribosomal RNA is filed under the name uncultured Thermoplasmata archaeon. Its description in RNAcentral is "bacterial SSU rRNA". It matches the Rfam family "Archaeal small subunit ribosomal RNA", at positions 1024 to 1338 of the family's 1478-position model. Lineage: Archaea; Methanobacteriati; Thermoplasmatota; Thermoplasmata. The record is from RNAcentral.
UCCUGUUAAGUCAGGCAACGAACGAGACCCUUGCAUCUAGUUGCCAGCAGAUCCCUUCGGGGAUGCUGGGUACCCUAGAUGGACCGCCAACUGGCUAAAGGUGGAGGAAGGAAUGGGCAACGGUAGGUCAGUAUGCCCCGAAUAUCCCGGGCUACACGCGAGCUACAAUGGUUGGGUACAAUGGGUAUCGUACCCCGAAAGGGGACGGGAAUCUCCUAAAACCAAUCUUAGUUCGGAUUGAGGGCUGCAACUCGCCCUCAUGAAGCUGGAAUCCGUAGUAAUCGCGUUUCAACAGAACGCGGUGAAUACGUCCCUGCUCCUU